GAUCCUGGCUCAGGAUGAACGCUGGCGGCGUGCUUAACACAUGCAAGUCGAGCGAAGCGGUUUCAAUGAAGUUUUCGGAUGGAUUUGAGAUUGACUUAGCGGCGGACGGGUGAGUAACGCGUGGGUAACCUGCCUUACACUGGGGGAUAACAGUUAGAAAUGACUGCUAAUACCGCAUAAGCGCACAGGGCCGCAUGGUCCGGUGUGAAAAACUCCGGCGGUGUAAGAUGGACCCGCGUCUGAUUAGGUAG
Molecule: ribosomal RNA, 251 nt
Filed under: uncultured bacterium
Lineage: Bacteria
Description: partial 16S ribosomal RNA
Rfam family: Bacterial small subunit ribosomal RNA
Source: RNAcentral